Molecule: ribosomal RNA, 1318 nt
Filed under: metagenome
Description: bacterial LSU rRNA
Rfam family: Bacterial large subunit ribosomal RNA
Source: RNAcentral
GGAUUGGGAGGGUUCUACGGAACCCGUUUGGUGAAUCUAGUGCCGAGAAAAGCCUUCUAUGUGUUGAAUUUCUAGUACCCGUACCCCAAACCGACACAGGUGGGUGGGUAGAGCAUACCUAGGGGCGCGUGAUAACUCUCUCUAAGGAACUCGGCAAAAUGGCCCUGUAACUUCGGGAUAAGGGGUGCCUGCGUGAGCAGGCCGCAGUGAAAUGGCUCUGGCGACUGUUUACCAAAAACACAGGUCUCUGCUAAGUCGUAAGACGAUGUAUAGGGGCUGACUCCUGCCCAGUGCCGGAAGGUUAAGGAAGUUGGUUAGCGCAAGCGAAGCUGGCGACCGAAGCCCCGGUGAACGGCGGCCGUAACUAUAACGGUCCUAAGGUAGCGAAAUUCCUUGUCGGGUAAGUUCCGACCCGCACGAAAGGAGUAACGAACAGAGCGCUGUCUCGGAGAGAGACACGGCGAAAUAGGAUUGUCCGUGAAGAUACGGACUACCUGCACCCGGACAGAAAGACCCUAUGAAGCUUUACUGUAACUUGGAAUUGUGUUCGGACUUUGUCUGCGCAGAAUAGGUGGGAGGCUAUGAAACGUUCCUCGCGGGGAACUGGAGCCAUCGUUGAGAUACCACUCUGGCAGAGUCUGGAUUCUAACCUACGGGGACAGUUCCAGGUGGGCAGUUUGACUGGGGCGGUCGCCUCCUAAAAUGUAACGGAGGCGCGCAAAGGUUCCCUCAGGCUGGUUGGAAAUCAGCCAUAGAGUGUAAAGGCAUAAGGGAGCUUGACUGUGAGACCUACAAGUCGGGCAGGGACGAAAGUCGGCUUUAGUGAUCCGACGGCACUGAGUGGAAGGGCCGUCGCUCAACGGAUAAAAGUUACUCUAGGAUAACAGGCUGAUCUCCCCCAAGAGUUCACAUCGACGGGGAGGUUUGGCACCUCGAUGUCGGCUCGUCGCAACCUGGGGCGGUAGUACGUCCCAAGGGUUGGGCUGUUCGCCCAUUAAAGCGGCACGUGAGCUGGGUUCAGAACGUCGUGAGACAGUUCGGUCCAUAUCCGGUGUAGGCGUAGGAGCAUUGAAAGGAUCUCUCCUUAGUACGAUAGGACCGGGAGGGACGUACCUCUGGUGUACCUGUUAUCGUGCCAACGGUAAACGCAGGGUAGCCAUGUACGGAGUGGAUAACCGCUGAAAGCAUCUAAGUGGGAAGCCCACCUUAAGAUGAGUGCUCCCUUGAGGCCACGGGAAGACGACCCGUUUGAUAGGCGCUAGGUGGAAGUGCAGUAAUGCAUGCAGCCGAGGCGUACUAAUAGGCCGAUGGCUUGUCC